This is a long non-coding RNA of Panthera uncia (snow leopard), 414 nucleotides long. RefSeq lists it as uncharacterized. The transcript has 2 exons. The record is from RefSeq and is a predicted model, not a curated record. Lineage: Eukaryota; Metazoa; Chordata; Mammalia; Carnivora; Felidae.
AAGAGGGUCAUUCAGGGACCCAGGCUGACAGUGUGGUCACCAUCUCAAAUGUUGCCUGUCACCUUGCCUGAGAGAAAAGAGGAUCCCAGGGUAUUGUGCACUGGUCACCAAAAUGCAGGAUGUCACAAGAGCCAGAGCUUAGAGAAAUUAAGGAACCUGCUCAAGAGCACACAGCCAGAGGUGAUGGGACGGGGAUUUGAACACAGUUCUGGGGCCUCAGAACCUGUGUAUGCAGCUGUGCCUUCUACUCUCUGACCUGCAGAUCUCAUGGUUUUAUAAAUUUGGCAGAGGCUGUCAAAAGAACUUUUCCACCAUCUUUGGUCUUACACUGGAGCAUAGAUGUCAGAGGAUUCCCAGGAUAAUCAGAUUGGCUGCUUUUAAAUGAUGAAGAUUAAAAAUGGGUUUUAGACUUUG